Molecule: ribosomal RNA, 253 nt
Filed under: uncultured bacterium
Lineage: Bacteria
Description: partial 16S ribosomal RNA
Rfam family: Bacterial small subunit ribosomal RNA
Source: RNAcentral
UACAGAGGUCCCAAGCGUUGUUCGGAUUUACUGGGCGUAAAGGGUGCGUAGGUGGCGAGGUAAGUUCGAUGUGAAAUCUCCGAGCUCAACUCGGAAAUGGCAUUGAAUACUAUCCCGCUUGAGGGUCGGAGGGGAGACUGGAAUUCUCGGUGUAGCAGUGAAAUGCGCAGAUAUCAGGAGGAACACCGAUGGCGAAGGCAGGUCUCUGGGCCACUACUGACGCUGAGAAGCGAAAGCAUGGGGAGCGAACAGG